Molecule: non-coding RNA, 860 nt
Filed under: Cavia porcellus (domestic guinea pig)
Lineage: Eukaryota; Metazoa; Chordata; Mammalia; Rodentia; Caviidae
Source: Rfam by way of RNAcentral
GUAAAUAAGGGUAAAGGACCUGGCCUUUUUAUUAGUUGUUUGCAGAACUAUACAUGCAAGAAUCCCCACGCAGGUGAGAAUAUCCUCUGCACUACAUCUUAGGCUAAAAGGAGCAGGUAUUAAGCUCACUACAAAGUAGCUCACAACACCUUGCUUUGCCACACCCCCACGGGAGACAGCAGUAAUAAAAAUUAAGCAAUAAACGAAAGUCUGACUAAAUCAUGCAACUAUCAGAGUUGGUAAAUUUCGUGCAAGCCACCGCGGUCAUACGAUUAACGCAAAUUAAUAAAAUCUGGCGUAAAAAAUGUUUUAGAAAUACAAAACAUAAGACUAAGCUUUAUCCAAGUCGUAGAAAACUCCAGAUAAAGUACAAACCAAAAACGAAAGUAAUCUUAAUAAGUAACACACUAAAGCUAAGCCAAAACUGGGUUUAGAUACCCCACUAUCCUUAGCCAUAAACAUAAAAACUUGCAUAACAAAAGUUUUCGCCUGAGAAUUACUAGCAAUAGCUUAAAACUCAAAGGACUUGGCGGUGCUUUACACUCACCUAAAGGAGCUUGUUCUAUAAUCAAUAAGCCCCGAUACACCUCACCACCCCUUGCUAAUCCAGCCUAUAUACCGCCAUCUUCAGCAAACCCAAUUAUGGGAACAAAGUAAGCACAAGUUUAUUUCAUAAAAACGUUAGGUCAAGGUGUAGCCAAUGGAGUGGGAAGAAAUGGGCCACAUUUUCUUACCGAAGAACAGCAGACUCUAGUCAUCAUGAAACCUAAGGACCUAAGGAGGAUUAGUAGUAAACCAAGGAUAGAGAGCUUGGUUGAACUAGGCCAUGAAACAUGUACACACCACCCUUCACCCUCCUC